This 274-nucleotide ribosomal RNA is filed under the name uncultured bacterium. RNAcentral describes it as "partial 16S ribosomal RNA". It matches the Rfam family "Bacterial small subunit ribosomal RNA", at positions 523 to 796 of the family's 1533-position model. The record is from RNAcentral.
AUACGGAGGGUGCAAGCGUUACUCGGAAUCACUGGGCGUAAAGCGCGCGCAGGCGGGCUGAUAAGUUGGAUGUGAAAGCCUACGGCUCAACCGUAGAACUGCAUCCAAAACUGGCAGUCUAGAGUGUGGGAGAGGAAGAUGGAAUUAGUUGUGUAGGGGUAAAAUCCGUAGAGAUAACUAGGAAUACCAAAAGCGAAGGCAAUCUUCUGGAACACUACUGACGCUGAGGCGCGAAGGCGUGGGGAGCAAACAGGAUUAGAUACCCCAGUAGUCC